UACGUAGGGACCAAGCGUUGUUCGGAUUUACUGGGCGUAAAGGGCGCGUAGGCGGCGUGGUAAGUCAGCUGUGAAAUCUCCGAGCUUAACUCGGAACGGUCAGCUGAUACUGCUGUGCUAGAGUACAGAAAGGGCAAUCGGAAUUCUUGGUGUAGCGGUGAAAUGCGUAGAUAUCAAGAGGAACACCUGAGGCGAAGGCGGGGUUGCUAGGCUGAUACUGACGCUGAGUGCGCGAAAGCUAGGGGAGCGAACAGG
RNAcentral lists this ribosomal RNA (255 nucleotides) under uncultured bacterium. Its description in RNAcentral is "partial 16S ribosomal RNA". It matches the Rfam family "Bacterial small subunit ribosomal RNA", at positions 524 to 776 of the family's 1533-position model. The record is from RNAcentral.